RNAcentral lists this ribosomal RNA (301 nucleotides) under uncultured bacterium. Its description in RNAcentral is "partial 16S ribosomal RNA". It matches the Rfam family "Bacterial small subunit ribosomal RNA", at positions 509 to 807 of the family's 1533-position model. The record is from RNAcentral.
CAGCCGCCACGGUAAAACGUAGGGUGCGAGCGUUAAUCGGAAUUACUGGGCGUAAAGCGUGCGCAGGCGGUUCGUUAAGACAGAUGUGAAAUCCCCGGGCUUAACCUGGGAACUGCAUUUGUGACUGACGGGCUAGAGUAUGGCAGAGGGGGGUAGAAUUCCACGUGUAGCAGUGAAAUGCGUAGAGAUGUGGAGGAAUACCGAUGGCGAAGGCAGCCCCCUGGGCCAAUACUGACGCUCAUGCACGAAAGCGUGGGGAGCAAACAGGAUUAGAUACCCCCGUAGUCCCUGUCUCUUAUAC